UACGAACCGAGCGAACGUUGUCGACGACACUGGGCUUAAAGGGCGCGUAGGCGGGUGCUCAAGUCCGGGGUAAAUCCCACAGCUCAACUGUGGAACUGCCUCGGAUACUGGGCGUCUCGAGUGUGGUAGGGGUAUGCGGAACUAUCGGUGGAGCGGUGAAAUGCGUUGAUAUCGAUAGGAACUCCGGUGGCGAAGGCGGCAUACUGGACCACCACUGACGCUGAUGCGCGAAAGCCAGGGGAGCAAACGGG
RNAcentral lists this ribosomal RNA (251 nucleotides) under uncultured bacterium. Its description in RNAcentral is "partial 16S ribosomal RNA". It matches the Rfam family "Bacterial small subunit ribosomal RNA", at positions 524 to 776 of the family's 1533-position model. The record is from RNAcentral.